CCUGGUGGCUCAGAGGUUAAAGCGUCUGCCUGGAAUGCAGGAGACCCAGGUUCCAUCCCUGGGUCAGGA
This 69-nucleotide transfer RNA is filed under the name Bos taurus (domestic cattle). It matches the Rfam family "tRNA". Rfam says of the family: Transfer RNA (tRNA) molecules are approximately 80 nucleotides in length. Their secondary structure includes four short double-helical elements and three loops (D, anti-codon, and T loops). Further hydrogen bonds mediate the characteristic L-shaped molecular structure. tRNAs have two regions of fundamental functional importance: the anti-codon, which is responsible for specific mRNA codon recognition, and the 3' end, to which the tRNAs corresponding amino acid is attached (by aminoacyl-tRNA synthetases). tRNAs cope with the degeneracy of the genetic code in two manners: having more than one tRNA (with a specific anti-codon) for a particular amino acid; and 'wobble' base-pairing, i.e. permitting non-standard base-pairing at the 3rd anti-codon position. The record is from Rfam by way of RNAcentral. Lineage: Eukaryota; Metazoa; Chordata; Mammalia; Artiodactyla; Bovidae. RNAcentral also lists the same sequence under 5 other names.